RNAcentral lists this ribosomal RNA (254 nucleotides) under uncultured bacterium. RNAcentral describes it as "partial 16S ribosomal RNA". It matches the Rfam family "Bacterial small subunit ribosomal RNA", at positions 524 to 776 of the family's 1533-position model. The record is from RNAcentral.
UACGUAGGUGGCAAGCGUUGUCCGGAUUUACUGGGCGUAAAAGAGCGCGCAGGCGGUCGUUCAAGUCGCGUGUGAAAGCCCCCGGCUCAACUGGGGAGGGUCACGCGAUACUGAUCGACUCGAAGGCAGGAGAGGGUAGUGGAAUUCCCGGUGUAGUGGUGAAAUGCGUAGAUAUCGGGAGGAACACCAGUGGCGAAGGCGACUACCUGGCCUGUUCUUGACGCUGAGGCGCGAAAGCUAGGGGAGCAAACGGG